AGAAUCAACGCUGGCGGCGUGCCUCAGACAUGCAAGUCGAACGCGAUUUGAGUCUUCGGACUCAAGUUGAGUGGCGCACGGGUGAGUAACACGUAGGUAAUCUACCUUUGGGUGGGGAAUAACAGCCGGAAACGGCUGCUAAUACCGCAUAAUGCAGCGGCAUCACGAUGAUGACAGUUGUUAAAGCGGGGGAUCGAAAGACCUCGCGCCAGAAGAGGAGCCUGCGGCAGAUUAGCUAGUUGGUAGGGUAACGGCCUACCAAGGCUACGAUCUGUA
RNAcentral lists this ribosomal RNA (276 nucleotides) under uncultured bacterium. RNAcentral's name for it is "partial small subunit ribosomal RNA". It matches the Rfam family "Bacterial small subunit ribosomal RNA", at positions 26 to 285 of the family's 1533-position model. The record is from RNAcentral.